This is a long non-coding RNA of Rosa rugosa (rugosa rose), 2594 nucleotides long. RefSeq lists it as uncharacterized. NCBI's taxonomy places the organism in Eukaryota, Viridiplantae, Streptophyta, Magnoliopsida, Rosales, Rosaceae. The record is from RefSeq and is a predicted model, not a curated record. The transcript is spliced from 7 exons.
GUUGGUGUAUGAAUGAGAAGGUCGAUGCUUGGCAUCUGUGUGUUUAGGCAAUAGAAGACGCCACAGUGCUGGAAUAGAAAUAAGAAAAAGAAGGAUUGGUCUGAGUUGGGUGUGGGGGCGAGUAAAUAUCAGAGGGGUUUUGUCUGUGCUGGAGUAUAAGACCUCGAUGAUCGAUUGGACCGGUUUCAAAUAUCGUUCGAAAGCCUUCUUUAGUAUUCAUUUUGGGAAGUUUUCAAACUUUCGAUUUAGUGAAAUUGAGCUCAUUUGAUCAAAUCGGAAUAUUCGAUUGAGCUGCCACCCAUUUGAUCAAAUCGGAGGAUCCGAUUGAGCAAUCGGAGAUAUGUGAGAGAUUAAGCUUCAGGUUUCCAAGUAGGGAUUUGGGUGUAUGUUGUGAAAUUUUAAUUAAAACUCGCAAGCGCACAAAUCGUCAUUAGUAUACUGUGUAAGUACGACGUUGUUCCAACUGAGGAUUGAUAAUCAAUUUAAAUCCUAUCUCAAUUAAUCCAAACACAAAAUCACAGAAACAAUUAAUCAAAAAAAUAUAUGGUUUUUAGAUUUUUGAAUAAACAAAUAAUGUGAAUAUUAAAGAAAGAAACAAACAGCAAAAUUUAUAAAUUGCAAAAGCAAAUUUGAUGGACAUAGGGUAUUAGAAUCAACUACUAACAAUCCUAUUUAUGUUUUGAUGUAAUUAACAAAUUCUUUUAUUUCUUCUUAUGACAAUUCCCGUAUCUAAGUCCAGGUACGACAUUUAGACCAUAGUUUUCCUUAAGUGUAUGAUUCUCUCCAGGUAUGGCAAAAGUCGUAUAUCCUAGCAUGCAGUCUAUCUAGGUACGGCAUAAAUUUAACACACAAGACUCAUUACGUUCUAAAAAACAAGGGAAUCAUGCAAACCAUUACUUCAGGUACGACAAUAAUGUAAUUCACACAAAAAGCUAAUUUGAAUUAUAUUGCAGGUACGCCUCAAAUUCACCUUCUAAUUACUAGAUGCAAAGCCCUAAGGUGAUCAAUCAAAGAACUUAAACAUAAAGCAUCAAUUCAAAUAGUGACUAAGAAUUCAUCAUAAAGAAACUAUAAAUCCAUCAAUAUAACAUCAAGUUACAUAAACAAUCAUGCUAGGGCAUCAUCCUAACUCUAGAAAAAGGUUUAGCAACAUAUAACUAAAUAAAACAUAAGAAAAACAUAAAAAGAAUGAAAAAGAAAAAUAAGGGGAACAUGGAUGAGUCAUCUCUGCUCCUUAAACAUCUUCAAUGUGCUCCCGAAACGUCCUCUCAUGUGAAAUUCGUGCUCCCUUAUAUAGGGAAGAUUCAUACUCAUCUUUGGCUUUAAGUUUCCUUGUAAGACUUGGGUUAUAUUUCUUUCUUCAUUUGGAUUGGGAAAAGCUUGAAAUAUCUCCAGUAAAAGUAGGAAUAAGUUCAUCAUUGAAUCUUCAUCUGAAUUAACUUCCUCAAAACAUUAGGAUUGACGAUCUUGUGCCGCGGAACUUGAGUUCUCCACAAAUGUUUGUAAAAUCCCAAGCAGAUUUUCUGUUUUGACCUAUUUUUACUCAAACAAUCAUAACUUAGUCUAGAAGUAUCAAAAUCAAGACCCGUAAAAUUAUAAAGAAAAUAGACAUCUGUAGUUUUCCAAUGAUAUAAGGAUCAUUGUCUGAUUUAAUGUGGUAAUUUCCCAGUAAUUCGGCGAAAUUGGGUGCUUUGCACAGCCAGAUUCUGAGACUUGGGAUUGCACAAUAUUGCCUUUCAAUCCUCGUUAGCUCAUUUUAGCUUCUUUUCUUCUUUCUAUGGAACAAACCUAUAAAAAUACUUAAAUAACAUAAAUGAAUCAUAAAUAAAGAGAACUAAAUAUAAAUACCAAGAUUAAGAGGCAUAGAAAUAUAGGAAAAUAUGAGCACAUCAGUGUAUGGGAGUAUGGGACUAUAAUGUGCCGAUGCCUGAAAAUUUUGACAUAUGAAUGAUCAAGUGUGCAUAUGACAGAGGAGUAACGUUCUUCGAUACAUCUGAUGUUUAUGGAGCACAUGCUAAUGAAGUUUUGAUUGAAAAGGCCAUUAUUACCCCAUGAGAGUUUAUAUGUUUAAGCAGGACUGAUCAUGUAUUCUAAUAAGGUCAUGGAGCAAGCCACUGAUGUAGAGAAAGCAACGGUUGUGUUUGAGUUUCUUGAUUUCAAGCGCAGGAACAAGAGUUUUACAGCAGCAUGUUGAACAUUCCUAACAUUAUCUAGGCACUCAUUGGUCUUAUAAAUGCUCUAAGGCAGUGGUUUGGAAAGGCAUAUCUAAUAUUGAUACUUGCAAUUGGAAGCAUGUUAUACCACACUAUAUUGCAGCACGUGGCCAUUCAAGCAAUAAAGAGCUUAUUUGAGCAAGUGAGCUGCAACAUGAGAUAAUGGUUUGUGCACAUUUGAACAGUGUUGAAAUGAAGCCAUGAAAAUAUUUUUUUGCUCCUUACAUGGCAAUCCUUUGUAUUGAAAUCACAUCAACUAUUUUUUGAUGUGAUAAUGGUUUGUAUAUAUACUUCAUACAAAAUGCAGCUCCUAGAACUAAGUGGAUACAAUGUAAUCCAACUCCGAAACAAUAUAUUCCACUUGACUUCAUUAUUCUUUCA